RNAcentral lists this long non-coding RNA (1235 nucleotides) under Mus spicilegus (steppe mouse). Its description in RNAcentral is "lncRNA (ENSMSIG00000019024.1)". The record is from RNAcentral. Lineage: Eukaryota; Metazoa; Chordata; Mammalia; Rodentia; Muridae.
UUCUCUGCAUCUGAGCCACAUGACCUGCCAAGUUGACACCUGUAUUUUGAUUUCCUUAUGUCUUGCAGAACCUGGAUGCUCCUGAGGACCCCCCAGGAAACCUUCCCCCAGCCAGCUUCAACAGGCUCAGAACCAGCUGUCCAUCACUCAGAGUCAUCCCAUUGGAGUCUACGCACGUUGGUGCUACUAGAGGUGGUAGGUUAAGGCAUUGUGUCUGCCUCUGUCCAGUGGGUGGGACUGUGCUGGCUUCUCUCAUGCUAUGGCUAAGAAGGGCCCUGUAUGGAGGAGCCCAGACCUGUGGGGCUCUGCGGCUUCAAGAUAGUUUCAAGGAGAAUACACAAGAGGCCCUGUCAACUGGGAUGACCUAGCCACUUGGAGGCCUGGCCCCUGCCAUACAUCACUUAGAUAAGGUAGGGCAUCCAUUCUUCCCUUGGCAGGAUGCCUCCCAGGCUCAGUUCCAGUCUGGCACAUUCAAGGGGUACAGUUCCAACAUUGACAACUGAACCUCAGAGCCCCAAACUUUCCAUGGUUCCCCAAUCUAAGCUCGUGACUCAAAGACCUCAUGGCCCAGUGUCUCCAGGCCAUAGGUGAUGAACUAGUCUCCUGGCCUUGAGCUACUGUGAGUUCCAGGUGGCUCCUAAGCUGUGCCUGGGGCCUUUUGAGGGGCUCUCCAGUUGGGAUUCACAGGAAACAAUAGAAAUGCAAGAAAAGGGCUCAUAGAUGCACCCCAGCACCUAACUAGUGUUGCUUCUUCUCUAGGCACCGGCUUCUUCUUGACAACGUCCCCGGGUGACUCUUAGAACUCAAUGGCCACGUCCAGCUCAGAGUUAUCCGGACAGCUGUAGUUGCACACGUGAUAACUGGCGGCACCCACUCUUACCACGUGACCAUGUGUUCUCGCCAUGUGACUGUGGCAGUUCCAUGAUGAGGACUCCUCUCAGUUUCCACUCUGUCACAGCCCUGCCCUGGACUCAUGUGGACACCCGAACCUUUGCUGUAGAUCAGAAGCAGUGCGUGUCCCAGAGUGCUACCAUAAUGAUGCCGUCCAGGUCCACAGUACAACCGGCUGCCUUGGUCAUUGCCGUAAUGACAGUACAUUCCAACUUCUCAAGGUAGGACAAUCCAGGGCAUGCUCUGGGAGGCCAGGAGUGACUGGAAGGCUCUGCUACCCCUGUGUUGGGGGGGGUGGAGGGCCCUUAAAAAAUGAGGAGAUAGUUCCAAGUAAAAAUCUUCUU